RNAcentral lists this ribosomal RNA (206 nucleotides) under uncultured Bacteroidota bacterium. RNAcentral describes it as "uncultured Bacteroidetes bacterium partial 16S ribosomal RNA". It matches the Rfam family "Bacterial small subunit ribosomal RNA", at positions 292 to 515 of the family's 1533-position model. Lineage: Bacteria; Pseudomonadati; Bacteroidota. The record is from RNAcentral.
CUGAGAGGGUGAUCGGCCACAUUGGGACUGAGACACGGCCCAAACUCCUACGGGAGGCAGCAGUGGGGAAUAUUGCACAAUGGGGGAAACCCUGAUGCAGCGACGCCGCGUGAAGGAAGAAGUAUUUCGGUAUGUAAACUUCUAUCAGCAGGGAAGAAAAUGACGGUACCUGACUAAGAAGCCCCGGCUAACUACGUGCCAGCAGC